This 293-nucleotide ribosomal RNA is filed under the name uncultured bacterium. Its description in RNAcentral is "partial 16S ribosomal RNA". It matches the Rfam family "Archaeal small subunit ribosomal RNA", at positions 455 to 747 of the family's 1478-position model. The record is from RNAcentral.
GUGCCAGCAGCCGCGGUAAUACCGGCAGCUCAAGUGAUGACCGAUUUUAUUGGGCCUAAAGCGUCCGUAGCUGGCCAAGCAAGUCUGUCGGGAAAUCCACCCGCCCAACGGGUGGGCGUCCGGUAGAAACUGGCCGGCUUGGAACCGGAAGGCUCAGAGAGUACGUCCGGGGUAGGAGUGAAAUCCCGUAAUCCCGGACGGACUACCGAUGGCGAAAGCACUCUGAGAAGACGGCUUCGACAGUGAGGGACGAAAGAUGGGGUCUCAAACCGGAUUAGAAACCCGAGUAGUCC